RNAcentral lists this ribosomal RNA (464 nucleotides) under uncultured bacterium. RNAcentral describes it as "partial 16S ribosomal RNA". It matches the Rfam family "Bacterial small subunit ribosomal RNA", at positions 28 to 507 of the family's 1533-position model. The record is from RNAcentral.
GACGAACGCUGGCGGCGUGCUUAACACAUGCAAGUCGAACGAUGAAGCCAGCUUGCUGGUGGAUUAGUGGCGGACGGGUGAGUAACACGUGGGUGAUCUGCCCCAAACUUUGGGAUAAGCCUGGGAAACUGGGUCUAAUACCGAAUAUGACCGAUACUCGCCUGGGUGUUGGUGGAAAGCUCCGGCGGUUUGGGAUGGGCCCGCGGCCUAUCAGCUUGUUGGUGGGGUAAUGGCCUACCAAGGCGACGACGGGUAGCCGGCCUGGGAGGGCGACCGGCCACACUGGGACUGAGAUACGGCGCAGACUCCUACGGGAGGCAGCAGUGGGGAAUAGUGCACAAUGGGCGCAAGCCUGAUGCAGCGACGCCGCGUGCGGGAUGACGGCCUUCGGGUUGUAAACCGCUUUCCCCAGGGACGAAGCGAAAGUGACGGUACCUGGAGAAGAAGCACCGGCCAACUACGUG